UAUCUAAUUAGUUUAUAAAAAUAUUAAUUUGUGGAGUUAAAGAAGACGAAUCAUUAGAUAU
Molecule: transfer RNA, 61 nt
Filed under: Chiropterargas boueti
Lineage: Eukaryota; Metazoa; Arthropoda; Arachnida; Ixodida; Argasidae
Description: Argas boueti tRNA-His
Source: RNAcentral